GAUGAACGCUGGCGGCGUGCCUAAUACAUGCAAGUCGAGCGAACAGCUGAGGAUCUUGCUCCUCUGCCGUUAGCGGCGGACGGGUGAGUAACACGUGGAUACCCUACCUAUAAGACUGGGAUAACUUCGGGACACCGGAGCUCAUACCGGGUAAUAUAUUCACCCGCAUGGUUCAAUAGUGAAAGACGGUUUUGCUGUCACUUAUAGAUUGAUCCGGGCCUCAUUAGCUAGUUGGUAAGGUAACGGCUUACCAAGGCAACGAUGCGUAGCCGACCUGGGGGGGUGAGCGGGCAGACGGGAACGGAGACACGGUCAAGACGCGUACGGGAGGCAGCAGUAGGGAAUCUUCGGCAAUGGGCGAAAGAAUGAUGGAGCAAGGCGGCGUGAGUGAUGAAGGUCUUCGGAUCGUAAAACUCUGUUAUUAGGGAAGAACAAAUGUGUAAGUAACGAUGCACGUCUUGACGGUACCUAAUCAGAAAGCCACGGCUAACUACGUG
RNAcentral lists this ribosomal RNA (497 nucleotides) under uncultured bacterium. RNAcentral describes it as "partial 16S ribosomal RNA". It matches the Rfam family "Bacterial small subunit ribosomal RNA", at positions 28 to 507 of the family's 1533-position model. The record is from RNAcentral.